RNAcentral lists this transfer RNA (97 nucleotides) under Parcubacteria group bacterium. RNAcentral describes it as "tRNA-OTHER". It matches the Rfam family "tRNA". From Rfam's summary of the family: Transfer RNA (tRNA) molecules are approximately 80 nucleotides in length. Their secondary structure includes four short double-helical elements and three loops (D, anti-codon, and T loops). The record is from RNAcentral.
GCCGGUGUAGCUCAAUUGGUAGAGCAGUGGUGGAUGACGAAGCCCUGGUUUCGUUUUAAACCAUAUGUUGGAGGUUCAAGUCCUCUCACCGGCUCCA